GCUUAACACAUGCAAGUCGAGGGGCAUCAGGAAGAAAGCUUGCUUUCUUUGCUGGCGACCGGCGCACGGGUGAGUAACACGUAUCCAACCUGCCCUUUACUCGGGGAUAGCCUUUCGAAAGAAAGAUUAAUACCCGAUGGCAUAAUGAUUCCGCAUGGUUUCAUUAUUAAAGGAUUCCGGUAAAGGAUGGGGAUGCGUUCCAUUAGGUUGUUGGUGAGGUAACGGCUCACCAAGCCUUCGAUGGAUAGGGGUUCUGAGAGGAAGGUCCCCCACAUUGGAACUGAGACACGGUCCAAACUCCUACGGGAGGCAGCAGUGAGGAAUAUUGGUCAAUGGGCGCUAGCCUGAACCAGCCAAGUAGCGUGAAGGAUGAAGGCUCUAUGGGUCGUAAACUUCUUUUAUAUAAGAAUAAAGUGCAGUAUGUAUACUGUUUUGUAUGUAUUAUAUGAAUAAGGAUCGGCUAACUCCGUGCCAGCAGCCGCGGUAAUACGGAGGAUCCGAGCGUUAUCCGGAUUUAUUGGGUUUAAAGGGAGCGUAGGUGGACUGGUAAGUCAGUUGUGAAAGUUUGCGGCUCAACCGUAAAAUUGCAGUUGAUACUGUCAGUCUUGAGUACAGUAGAGGUGGGCGGAAUUCGUGGUGUAGCGGUGAAAUGCUUAGAUAUCACGAAGAACUCCGAUUGCGAAGGCAGCUCACUGGACUGCAACUGACACUGAUGCUCGAAAGUGUGGGUAUCAAACAGGAUUAGAUACCCUGGCAGUCCACACAGUAAACGAUGAAUACUCGCUGUUUGCGAUAUACAGUAAGCGGCCAAGCGAAAGCAUUAAGUAUUCCACCUGGGGAGUACGCCGGCAACGGUGAAACUCAAAGGAAUUGACGGGGGCCCGCACAAGCGGAGGAACAUGUGGUUUAAUUCGAUGAUACGCGAGGAACCUUACCCGGGCUUAAAUUGCAGUGGAAUGAUGUGGAAACAUGUCAGUGAGCAAUCACCGCUGUGAAGGUGCUGCAUGGUUGUCGUCAGCUCGUGCCGUGAGGUGUCGGCUUAAGUGCCAUAACGAGCGCAACCCUUAUCUUUAGUUACUAACAGGUUAUGCUGAGGACUCUAGAGAGACUGCCGUCGUAAGAUGUGAGGAAGGUGGGGAUGACGUCAAAUCAGCACGGCCCUUACGUCCGGGGCUACACACGUGUUACAAUGGGGGGUACAGAAGGCAGCUAGCGGGUGACCGUAUGCUAAUCCCAAAAGCCUCUCUCAGUUCGGAUCGAAGUCUGCAACCCGACUUCGUGAAGCUGGAUUCGCUAGUAAUCGCGCAUCAGCCACGGCGCGGUGAAUACGUUCCCGGGCCUUGUACACACCGCCCGUCAAGCCAUGGGAGCCGGGGGUACCUGAAGUACGUAACCGCAAGGAUCGUCCUAGGGUAAAACUGGUGACUGGGGCUAAGUCG
RNAcentral lists this ribosomal RNA (1439 nucleotides) under uncultured organism. RNAcentral's name for it is "16S ribosomal RNA". It matches the Rfam family "Bacterial small subunit ribosomal RNA". The record is from RNAcentral.